Non-coding RNA from Caerostris extrusa, 110 nucleotides. NCBI's taxonomy places the organism in Eukaryota, Metazoa, Arthropoda, Arachnida, Araneae, Araneidae. The record is from the annotation of a GenBank genome assembly.
ACGGCCAUACCAUACUGAAUAUACCGGUUCUCGAUUUAGAUCACCAAAGUCAAGCAUCGGGGGCAGUCAGUACUUGGGUGGGUGACCACCAGGGAACACGGCGUGCCGUU